AGUAUCAUUCCAGUAUGGCUUUCACAUGUCACUGCGGUGUGGAACUUACAGGAGUUAUACCCCUGUUUCAGCACCUGAGGCGGUGCGUCAAGCGCCGCCUCUUUCUUAUAAUAUAUUGUGACAAAUGGUAAGUGUGCAGUGCUCCUAGUAUGGCUUUCACAUGUCACUGCGGUGUGGAACUUACAGGAGUUAUACCCCUGUUUCAGCACCUGAGGCGGUGCGUCAAGCGCCGCCUCUUUCUUAUAAUAUAUUGUGACAAAUGUGGAGAAAGGCUGGUGGGAGGCCAGGCCGUGGCCGCACACCUGGCGGGUGCGGCCCAUCGAACCCGUUACUGGGAGGGCCGGCAAGUCGGGCUGCUGUUGCAGUCCGACUACCGGGACGCCAUGGAGCGUAUCCGGACCCUAUGAUGAUGAUGUAUGUAUGAAGGUCUGGAGCUAGCUGCCGUCUUCGGGAUGUGCCAUUUGUUUUCAAAAUUAUUUACUCAUCCAAGUCCAUUUAAAUAAAAGUGCAUUAUAGUAAACAGUAUUGUGUUUUGUUACAGUGAAUAUGUGGGGAAUGGUGGAUAUGCC
Sycon ciliatum is the source of this 569-nucleotide long non-coding RNA. RefSeq lists it as uncharacterized. The record is from RefSeq and is a predicted model, not a curated record. Lineage: Eukaryota; Metazoa; Porifera; Calcarea; Leucosolenida; Sycettidae. The transcript has 4 exons.